Molecule: ribosomal RNA, 279 nt
Filed under: uncultured bacterium
Lineage: Bacteria
Description: partial 16S ribosomal RNA
Rfam family: Bacterial small subunit ribosomal RNA
Source: RNAcentral
UGCCAGCAGCCGCGGUAAUACGGGGGGUGCAAGCGUUGUUCGGAAUUAUUGGGCGUAAAGGGCGCGUAGGCGGGUUCUUAAGUCUGAUGUGAAAUCCCUCGGCUCAACCGAGGACGUGCAUUGGAUACUGGGAACCUUGAGCCCUGGAGAGGAAAGCGGAAUUCCAAGUGUAGAGGUGAAAUUCGUAGAUAUUUGGAGGAACACCAGUGGCGAAGGCGGUUUUCUGGACAGUGACUGACGCUGAGGCGCGAAAGCGUGGGUAGCAAACAGGAUUAGAUA